GAACGAACGCUGGCGGCAUGCCUAACACAUGCAAGUCGAACGAGACCUUCGGGUCUAGUGGCGCACGGGUGCGUAACGCGUGGGAACCUGCCCUUAGGUUCGGAAUAACUCCCCGAAAGGGGUGCUAAUACCAGAUAAUGUCUUCGGACCAAAGAUUUAUCGCCUUUGGAUGGGCCCGCGUUGGAUUAGCUAGUUGGUAGGGUAAAAGCCUACCAAGGCGACGAUCCAUAGCUGGUCUGAGAGGAUGAUCAGCCACACUGGGACUGAGACACGGCCCAGACUCCUACGGGAGGCAGCAGUGGGGAAUAUUGGACAAUGGGCGAAAGCCUGAUCCAGCAAUGCCGCGUGAGUGAUGAAGGCCUUAGGGUUGUAAAGCUCUUUUACCCGGGAUGAUAAUGACAGUACCGGGAGAAUAAGCGCCGGCUAACUCCGUG
Molecule: ribosomal RNA, 434 nt
Filed under: uncultured bacterium
Lineage: Bacteria
Description: partial 16S ribosomal RNA
Rfam family: Bacterial small subunit ribosomal RNA
Source: RNAcentral